This 2903-nucleotide ribosomal RNA is filed under the name Escherichia coli. RNAcentral's name for it is "23S ribosomal RNA". It matches the Rfam family "Bacterial large subunit ribosomal RNA". The record is from RNAcentral. Lineage: Bacteria; Pseudomonadati; Pseudomonadota; Gammaproteobacteria; Enterobacterales; Enterobacteriaceae.
GGUUAAGCGACUAAGCGUACACGGUGGAUGCCCUGGCAGUCAGAGGCGAUGAAGGACGUGCUAAUCUGCGAUAAGCGUCGGUAAGGUGAUAUGAACCGUUAUAACCGGCGAUUUCCGAAUGGGGAAACCCAGUGUGUUUCGACACACUAUCAUUAACUGAAUCCAUAGGUUAAUGAGGCGAACCGGGGGAACUGAAACAUCUAAGUACCCCGAGGAAAAGAAAUCAACCGAGAUUCCCCCAGUAGCGGCGAGCGAACGGGGAGCAGCCCAGAGCCUGAAUCAGUGUGUGUGUUAGUGGAAGCGUCUGGAAAGGCGCGCGAUACAGGGUGACAGCCCCGUACACAAAAAUGCACAUGCUGUGAGCUCGAUGAGUAGGGCGGGACACGUGGUAUCCUGUCUGAAUAUGGGGGGACCAUCCUCCAAGGCUAAAUACUCCUGACUGACCGAUAGUGAACCAGUACCGUGAGGGAAAGGCGAAAAGAACCCCGGCGAGGGGAGUGAAAAAGAACCUGAAACCGUGUACGUACAAGCAGUGGGAGCCUCUUUUAUGGGGUGACUGCGUACCUUUUGUAUAAUGGGUCAGCGACUUAUAUUCUGUAGCAAGGUUAACCGAAUAGGGGAGCCGAAGGGAAACCGAGUCUUAACUGGGCGUUAAGUUGCAGGGUAUAGACCCGAAACCCGGUGAUCUAGCCAUGGGCAGGUUGAAGGUUGGGUAACACUAACUGGAGGACCGAACCGACUAAUGUUGAAAAAUUAGCGGAUGACUUGUGGCUGGGGGUGAAAGGCCAAUCAAACCGGGAGAUAGCUGGUUCUCCCCGAAAGCUAUUUAGGUAGCGCCUCGUGAAUUCAUCUCCGGGGGUAGAGCACUGUUUCGGCAAGGGGGUCAUCCCGACUUACCAACCCGAUGCAAACUGCGAAUACCGGAGAAUGUUAUCACGGGAGACACACGGCGGGUGCUAACGUCCGUCGUGAAGAGGGAAACAACCCAGACCGCCAGCUAAGGUCCCAAAGUCAUGGUUAAGUGGGAAACGAUGUGGGAAGGCCCAGACAGCCAGGAUGUUGGCUUAGAAGCAGCCAUCAUUUAAAGAAAGCGUAAUAGCUCACUGGUCGAGUCGGCCUGCGCGGAAGAUGUAACGGGGCUAAACCAUGCACCGAAGCUGCGGCAGCGACACUAUGUGUUGUUGGGUAGGGGAGCGUUCUGUAAGCCUGUGAAGGUGUACUGUGAGGUAUGCUGGAGGUAUCAGAAGUGCGAAUGCUGACAUAAGUAACGAUAAAGCGGGUGAAAAGCCCGCUCGCCGGAAGACCAAGGGUUCCUGUCCAACGUUAAUCGGGGCAGGGUGAGUCGACCCCUAAGGCGAGGCCGAAAGGCGUAGUCGAUGGGAAACAGGUUAAUAUUCCUGUACUUGGUGUUACUGCGAAGGGGGGACGGAGAAGGCUAUGUUGGCCGGGCGACGGUUGUCCCGGUUUAAGCGUGUAGGCUGGUUUUCCAGGCAAAUCCGGAAAAUCAAGGCUGAGGCGUGAUGACGAGGCACUACGGUGCUGAAGCAACAAAUGCCCUGCUUCCAGGAAAAGCCUCUAAGCAUCAGGUAACAUCAAAUCGUACCCCAAACCGACACAGGUGGUCAGGUAGAGAAUACCAAGGCGCUUGAGAGAACUCGGGUGAAGGAACUAGGCAAAAUGGUGCCGUAACUUCGGGAGAAGGCACGCUGAUAUGUAGGUGAAGUCCCUCGCGGAUGGAGCUGAAAUCAGUCGAAGAUACCAGCUGGCUGCAACUGUUUAUUAAAAACACAGCACUGUGCAAACACGAAAGUGGACGUAUACGGUGUGACGCCUGCCCGGUGCCGGAAGGUUAAUUGAUGGGGUCAGCGCAAGCGAAGCUCUUGAUCGAAGCCCCGGUAAACGGCGGCCGUAACUAUAACGGUCCUAAGGUAGCGAAAUUCCUUGUCGGGUAAGUUCCGACCUGCACGAAUGGCGUAAUGAUGGCCAGGCUGUCUCCACCCGAGACUCAGUGAAAUUGAACUCGCUGUGAAGAUGCAGUGUACCCGCGGCAAGACGGAAAGACCCCGUGAACCUUUACUAUAGCUUGACACUGAACAUUGAGCCUUGAUGUGUAGGAUAGGUGGGAGGCUUAGAAGUGUGGACGCCAGUCUGCAUGGAGCCGACCUUGAAAUACCACCCUUUAAUGUUUGAUGUUCUAACGUUGACCCGUGAUCCGGGUUGCGGACAGUGUCUGGUGGGUAGUUUGACUGGGGCGGUCUCCUCCUAAAGAGUAACGGAGGAGCACGAAGGUUGGCUAAUCCUGGUCGGACAUCAGGAGGUUAGUGCAAUGGCAUAAGCCAGCUUGACUGCGAGCGUGACGGCGCGAGCAGGUGCGAAAGCAGGUCAUAGUGAUCCGGUGGUUCUGAAUGGAAGGGCCAUCGCUCAACGGAUAAAAGGUACUCCGGGGAUAACAGGCUGAUACCGCCCAAGAGUUCAUAUCGACGGCGGUGUUUGGCACCUCGAUGUCGGCUCAUCACAUCCUGGGGCUGAAGUAGGUCCCAAGGGUAUGGCUGUUCGCCAUUUAAAGUGGUACGCGAGCUGGGUUUAGAACGUCGUGAGACAGUUCGGUCCCUAUCUGCCGUGGGCGCUGGAGAACUGAGGGGGGCUGCUCCUAGUACGAGAGGACCGGAGUGGACGCAUCACUGGUGUUCGGGUUGUCAUGCCAAUGGCACUGCCCGGUAGCUAAAUGCGGAAGAGAUAAGUGCUGAAAGCAUCUAAGCACGAAACUUGCCCCGAGAUGAGUUCUCCCUGACUCCCUGAGAGUCCUGAAGGAACGUUGAAGACGACGACGUUGAUAGGCCGGGUGUGUAAGCGCAGCGAUGCGUUGAGCUAACCGGUACUAAUGAACCGUGAGGCUUAACCUU